GUCUAUGGCCAUGCCACCCUGAACAAGCCCGAUCAAUCCCAUCUGAAGCCCGAUCGAUCCCAUCUGAUCUCAGAAGCUAAGCAGGGUCGGGCCUGGUUAGUACUCGGAUGGGAGACCACCUAGGAAGACCAGGUGCUGUAGGCG
This 144-nucleotide ribosomal RNA is filed under the name Pteropus alecto (black flying fox). Lineage: Eukaryota; Metazoa; Chordata; Mammalia; Chiroptera; Pteropodidae. The record is from RNAcentral.